RNAcentral lists this ribosomal RNA (389 nucleotides) under uncultured bacterium. Its description in RNAcentral is "partial 16S ribosomal RNA". It matches the Rfam family "Bacterial small subunit ribosomal RNA", at positions 523 to 918 of the family's 1533-position model. The record is from RNAcentral.
AUACGUAGGGGGCAGGCGUUGCCCGGAAUUACUGGGGGUAAGGGGCGCGCAGGCGGCUUGUAUAGUCAGAAGUGAAAGUUUGCAGCUUAACUGUAACAGUGCUUUUGAUACUGCCUGGCUUGAGUCUCGGAGGGGUAAGCGGAAUUCCUAGUGUAGCGGUAAAAUGCGUAGAGAUUAGGAAGAGCACAGGCGGCGAAGCCGGCCUACUGGAGGAAUACUGACGCGCAUGCACGAAGGCGGGGGAAGCAAACAGGAUUAGAUACCCUGGUCGUCCACGCCGUAAACCAUGAAUACUAGCUGUUGGGGCAACUCAGUAGCGCAGUUAACACAUUAAGUAUUCCGCCUGGGGAGUACGCUCGCAAGUGUAAAACUUAAAGGAAUUGACGGGG